Molecule: transfer RNA, 66 nt
Filed under: Desmaulus extinctorium
Lineage: Eukaryota; Metazoa; Mollusca; Gastropoda; Littorinimorpha; Calyptraeidae
Description: tRNA-Tyr
Source: RNAcentral
UUGUUGAUGGCCGAGAAAUAGGCGAUAAAUUGUAAAUUUAUUAACGGAGAUUUUCUCCUCAACAAA